RNAcentral lists this ribosomal RNA (18 nucleotides) under Toxicodendron vernix (poison sumac). RNAcentral describes it as "partial 28S ribosomal RNA". Lineage: Eukaryota; Viridiplantae; Streptophyta; Magnoliopsida; Sapindales; Anacardiaceae. The record is from RNAcentral.
CCCAGGUCAGGCGGGAUU